Molecule: ribosomal RNA, 497 nt
Filed under: uncultured bacterium
Lineage: Bacteria
Description: partial 16S ribosomal RNA
Rfam family: Bacterial small subunit ribosomal RNA
Source: RNAcentral
GAUGAACGCUGGCGGCGUGCCUAAUACAUGCAAGUCGAGCGAACAGACGAGGAGCUUGCUCCUCUGACGUUAGCGGCGGACGGGUGAGUAACACGUGGAUAACCUACCUAUAAGACUGGGAUAACUUCGGGAAACCGGAGCUAAUACCGGAUAAUAUAUUGAACCGCAUGGUUCAAUAGUGAAAGACGGUUUUGCUGUCACUUAUAGAUGGGUCCGCGCCGCAUUAGCCAGUUGGUAAGGUAACGGCUUACCAAGGCAACGAUGCGUAGCCGACCUGAGAGGGUGAUCGGCCACACUGGAACUGAGACACGGUCCAGACUCCUACGGGAGGCAGCAGUAGGGAAUCUUCCGCAAUGGGCGAAAGCCUGACGGAGCAACGCCGCGUGAGUGAUGAAGGUCUUCGGAUCGUAAAACUCUGUUAUUAGGGAAGAACAAAUGUGUAAGUAACUAUGCACGUCUUGACGGUACCUAAUCAGAAAGCCACGGCUAACUACGUG